GAUCCUCGAUCUCGAUGAAGGCACGGUCGCAGAAACCCUAAAUUGGGAGAACGUGACUAGGUCUGGUCCACCACCAAAACCUCCACCAACACAGAGAGAAACUAGAAAAUUAGAAAGAAUCUAUUGAGAGAGAUCUGUCGAAUUGAGAGAGAGAUCUGUCGAGAGAGAUAUGUCGAGAGAGAGAUCUGUCUGAAUCUGGAUGGCUGGCGGAUCUGGCUUCUCUUCACCGGAGAGAGAUAAGGGUAGGGGUGAGGACGACUGGAUUUGGGGGAGCUAGGGCUCAGGCGCCGGAGCUCGAGCAGAGAGGGAGAGUUGUUGAGGGCGGCGGCUGUAGCAGGAGUUGUGGUCGCCGGAGGAGAUGAGAAAAAGGUGUUGUGCGUCGUNG
RNAcentral lists this long non-coding RNA (385 nucleotides) under Salvia miltiorrhiza (redroot sage). Its description in RNAcentral is "long non-coding RNA (SMIL_LNC000366)". Lineage: Eukaryota; Viridiplantae; Streptophyta; Magnoliopsida; Lamiales; Lamiaceae. The record is from RNAcentral.